GCCGGAUAAAUCCUGUGUGCAU
This 22-nucleotide microRNA is filed under the name Schmidtea mediterranea. Its description in RNAcentral is "sme-miR-746-5p". Its record names the gene sme-miR-746-5p. The record is from miRBase by way of RNAcentral. Lineage: Eukaryota; Metazoa; Platyhelminthes; Tricladida; Dugesiidae.